Molecule: ribosomal RNA, 164 nt
Filed under: Acer platanoides (Norway maple)
Lineage: Eukaryota; Viridiplantae; Streptophyta; Magnoliopsida; Sapindales; Sapindaceae
Also listed under: 1 other name
Description: 5.8S ribosomal RNA
Rfam family: 5.8S ribosomal RNA
About the family: 5.8S ribosomal RNA (5.8S rRNA) is a component of the large subunit of the eukaryotic ribosome. It is transcribed by RNA polymerase I as part of the 45S precursor that also contains 18S and 28S rRNA.
Source: RNAcentral
AAAACGACUCUCGGCAACGGAUAUCUCGGCUCUCGCAUCGAUGAAGAACGUAGCGAAAUGCGAUACUUGGUGUGAAUUGCAGAAUCCCGUGAACCAUCGAGUCUUUGAACGCAAGUUGUGCCCCAAGCCGUUAGGCCGAGGGCACGCCUGCCUGGGUGUCACGC